RNAcentral lists this ribosomal RNA (794 nucleotides) under Streptomyces violascens. Its description in RNAcentral is "bacterial SSU rRNA". It matches the Rfam family "Bacterial small subunit ribosomal RNA", at positions 56 to 865 of the family's 1533-position model. Lineage: Bacteria; Bacillati; Actinomycetota; Actinomycetes; Kitasatosporales; Streptomycetaceae. The record is from RNAcentral.
UGCAGUCGACGAUGAACCGCUUUCGGGCGGGGAUUAGUGGCGAACGGGUGAGUAACACGUGGGCAAUCUGCCCUGCACUCUGGGACAAGCCCUGGAAACGGGGUCUAAUACCGGAUAUGACUGUCCAUCGCAUGGUGGAUGGUGUAAAGCUCCGGCGGUGCAGGAUGAGCCCGCGGCCUAUCAGCUUGUUGGUGAGGUAGUGGCUCACCAAGGCGACGACGGGUAGCCGGCCUGAGAGGGCGACCGGCCACACUGGGACUGAGACACGGCCCAGACUCCUACGGGAGGCAGCAGUGGGGAAUAUUGCACAAUGGGCGAAAGCCUGAUGCAGCGACGCCGCGUGAGGGAUGACGGCCUUCGGGUUGUAAACCUCUUUCAGCAGGGAAGAAGCGAAAGUGACGGUACCUGCAGAAGAAGCGCCGGCUAACUACGUGCCAGCAGCCGCGGUAAUACGUAGGGCGCAAGCGUUGUCCGGAAUUAUUGGGCGUAAAGAGCUCGUAGGCGGCUUGUCACGUCGGUUGUGAAAGCCCGGGGCUUAACCCCGGGUCUGCAGUCGAUACGGGCAGGCUAGAGUUCGGUAGGGGAGAUCGGAAUUCCUGGUGUAGCGGUGAAAUGCGCAGAUAUCAGGAGGAACACCGGUGGCGAAGGCGGAUCUCUGGGCCGAUACUGACGCUGAGGAGCGAAAGCGUGGGGAGCGAACAGGAUUAGAUACCCUGGUAGUCCACGCCGUAAACGGUGGGCACUAGGUGUGGGCAACAUUCCACGUUGUCCGUGCCGCAGCUAACGCAUUAAGU